GGGAGCAAGCUGGCCCCAAGGGACUUGUUAAUAAAUAUGUGCUUUUUUCCCUUUCUGAUCUAUCCCAGAUUGCCCAUAAAUUAGGUAGCUUCUCUGUUGACCCACAGAAUUAUAUCAGGCAAUUUGAAUUUAUUACUGAUUGUUAUGAUCUGCAUUUUAAGGAUGUUUAUGUGAUUUUAAAUACCACCCUUAGCUCACAAGAGCGAAAUCAGCUGUGGCAGGCAGCUUGAGAAGAAGCUGAUCGCAGGCAUAGGGCAAACAAAACUGAAAACGACCCUGGGCCUGUUCCUGUGCCAGACCAAGAUCCUGACUGGAACUAUCAGAAUGGACAAGGUUCACAAAAACUACAUAAGAUGAUUGAGUGUCUCAUUGUGGGCCUUAAUAAGAUUACUCACAAACAUACAAAUUAUAAAAAGCUUUUAGAACAGGCCCAGGAGCCUAACAAAAAACCGGCUGUGUUUUUAAAUUGGCUUUGGGAAACCUUAAUCAAGUAUACUAAUGUAAACUUUCAUGAAGGGAUGAUUGUUGUUAACUCUUAUUUUAUUUCACAGUCUGCUCCUGAUAUUCGUGCAAAAUUACAAAAGGUUGAACAUGGCCCUCAAACUCCACAAGGGGAUCUACUUAAAUUAGCCUUCCGUGUCUUCAACAAUAGAGAUAAAGUUCAAAAAGAGGAGAAGCAAGCUCAAAAAUUAAAGUUUGCUAAAUAUCAGUCUGACCUCUUAGCAGUGGCACUCGGAGCUCCCAAGAUAAAAAAUCCACAAGGUGUGGCUGCCCGAGUCCCGCCCGGACCAUGCUUCAAGUGCAGCAAACAAGGACACUGGGCAAAAGACUGCCCUAACCCUGGCAUUCCUCUAGGGCCAUGUCCAUACUGCAACGUUAAGGGGCAUUGGAAGAGCAACUGUCCUAGCCGCCAGCAAGCGGGUAAGCCAUCCUCUAAUCCUUCACCCACGUAGGAGACUCCAUCAAUGCCAGAUUCGUCACUGACUGACCUGCUCGGACUGGCUGUGGAAGAUUGAUGGGGCUCGGGGCUCACAGCGCCCACUCUGGUAACCUUGUCGGAGCCCCGAGUCUCACUGGAGGUCUCAGUCUGACAUCCGUGCAUUCACCAGUGAAGUUGUCCUGGCUAAAACACCUGGCACCAGCAUCUACCUGGGCACCAACCUUCAUCCUUCAUCCUUCAACCUUCAUCCCGUCAACUCCCCUAGUACAGCGCCCCCUGCCAGCAGGAAGUAGUUAAAGAGAGAAAUCUUUGCCCCUUUUCAUAAUAAUAAUCAUAAGACGGGAUAUGAAAGAGUUUUGGCCUAGACAGGACACUGUAGCCAGGAAAGCAUCAACUGGAAGCAGGAAGCCCCUAUCUCCCCUGCCCCUAGGAAUUUAUCUGUGACGCCAUCUUCCCACCCCUGGGAAAUUUACCUAUGGCGCCAAACCUAGGACCAAUGGGCUCCCUGUGCAUCCCUAAUGCCCUCCUUAGGUUCCACCCCAAACCGAGGCUACUUACAUACCCCACCACGCCACGUGUCCGCCAGAGAGAUCGCCGGAUGCCAGCGGUGGGGAGUGCCAGCCAUCUCUCUCUGUGUUCUCAGAAUAAAUGCUGCUUUUUAUUUUAUA
This is a long non-coding RNA of Cavia porcellus (domestic guinea pig), 1608 nucleotides long. RefSeq lists it as uncharacterized. The transcript is spliced from 2 exons. NCBI's taxonomy places the organism in Eukaryota, Metazoa, Chordata, Mammalia, Rodentia, Caviidae. The record is from RefSeq and is a predicted model, not a curated record.